GAGAGUGUGGUGUAACUGGAUAACAUCUCAGUCUACGAAACUGAAGAAUUGAGGGUUCAAUUCCCUCCGCUCUCGUCA
RNAcentral lists this transfer RNA (78 nucleotides) under Nostoc sp. KVJ20. RNAcentral's name for it is "tRNA-Arg". It matches the Rfam family "tRNA". From Rfam's summary of the family: Transfer RNA (tRNA) molecules are approximately 80 nucleotides in length. Their secondary structure includes four short double-helical elements and three loops (D, anti-codon, and T loops). Lineage: Bacteria; Bacillati; Cyanobacteriota; Cyanophyceae; Nostocales; Nostocaceae. The record is from RNAcentral.